Molecule: long non-coding RNA, 1567 nt
Organism: Parus major (Great Tit)
Lineage: Eukaryota; Metazoa; Chordata; Aves; Passeriformes; Paridae
Exons: 2
Source: RefSeq, a predicted model, not a curated record
GCCUCGGCCUCAUUACCUUCAAUUACAGUAAUUGUUGCCUCUCUCCAGUGUUUUGCAUUUCUCCCUGGGGGAAAUCUCUCUGCUGCUUCUUUUCCAGUCUUGCUCCAGCUUUCUCCUAUCGAUUGGAUCGCUCUGGCCCCGAUUCUAGGAGCGAUGCCUCCAGGAGGAUAAAUGCAAAUCGCCCUAUUGAUUGGGAGGAGUAGGAGUGCAGCUCGUUUGGGGGAGGGAGAAUUCGUUUUAAAUGAAGAAAAAAAGUAAAGUGAUGAGCAUGACAGGAAAUGCUUCACUUUCUGGGCCUCUUAAGUAGUGUCUCUUUAUCAUGUCCUGUGUCUGAGGGGGAUGUAGAUUGGUGCCAUCUGGAUAAUAUAUUACAUGCAUGGAGAGGUGGAUCCCGCGACACAGACACUAGUCUGGUUUCCUACUUAUUUUAGGUGAACAUGUAUCACUGAUCAUUUCUGGAACGCAGCUCCCCUCCUCCAGUUUGAAGGUGACUGAGUUUCACUGGGGACACGCUAAUUGCUGCUGAAAAUGAGCAGGGAGUAAUGUGCAGGCCUCUAUCCACCUCCUUGAACUGCCCAGUUACAGGGGUAAGGCUCCUUGGGAGUUAUUAACCUUGAGGGAACCUGCUCAGCAGCCUGUCUGUCACAGGGGAGCGGCUGGAGGAGCCAGCCUGUGGGCUCUGCACAGCCUUGGAUCCUGAAAUGGCUACUUGCUUCAGUAAAUCCAUGGCCAGACUCACAAGUGGAAAGCCCAAAGAAUUGCACAGUCACGGAAAGGCCUGAACCCCUCAUGGCGGCCAUCAUCUCAUGCCCAUGCUGGGACUCUCACGCACAUGGAGAUUCUGGAGAAGGUGAUGGAUGUGAUUUGGCACUUCACUGGAGGGACUCUGACAUUUGGAAGCAGACUCUUGCACGGCUGCACUACUCACAUGCUCCUGAGCCUCUUCUGGAAUAUGACUGUAGAGAAGAGAAGGUGUUGUCCUGAGUUUUUGCUGGCCUGUCAGGAGAAAUGCUGUUCUGGAAUAGUUCAGGACACUAGGUGCUCACCUGAAUUGGUCUUUUAGAAGGAUUCGUCAGUCCUUCCAGAAACUUGGCACUGCAACUGUUGGCUUCUGAAACGAAGUAAAAGAAUCAAACCAUCAUUUAUGUGGCCUGCAAAGACUCGUUGGAUGGAUCUCUUGUUUUAGUUGGCAAUUUCUUCUUAAAGACAAGAUUUCACAUCUGCGACAGAGCUUUGAGCUGAUGCAGAGAAUGUGCUCCUGUGAGAUGCUGCCCAAAGCAGUCCCUUUCCGUGAGAUGCCCAGAGGCUGAUUUUGCAACCAGGUCCUUCUGUUCAUGUUGGCUUCAAAGGCCUUCACGUAUCUGGUGGGAGGGAGCAGCCCUGUGCUCUGCAGGCUCUGACUACAGGCUCUGUAGUCCAUUCAAGUGGAGGCUUUAGGCUGCUCUCCCAUGGCUGCUGGAGACAUGUAAUGCGGCCUCAGGCUCCUGACGCUUUCCUUGAUGGUUCGUUAUAGUCAUUAUCCCACAUUCCUUCUGGUUGCAGAACAUGUUGUUAUUAUUGCUUUGUA